GAUCGUGUUUGACGCUCCGACGAAGAUCGUGUCUGCAAUCGCUGUGAUUUGUGGUGUGGACUAAGUCGGCUUUGAGCAGGAUCUAUGGAUCGUUUGAGAAGCCGUCGGAGAAGAAGAAGGGGUAUGUGCUUCCCAGGGCUGAUGGUGAAGAUGGUGAAAACUGUCACCGUGAGAAGACUUGGAAGAAGAGGUUUUUCUGUGGGCAUCUUACAGAAGCCAAAUACUGACCAAAACUGGUAUUUGUGCGAGGCAUGAUGUAUUACCGAAAGGCUUUGGAGCUCCAGGCCUUCCUUGAUAUGGCAAAGGAUGAAGAAUUAAUGAAAGGGUACAAGGCUCUCGAGUUAACUAGCGAAGACGCCUCAAAGAGCGGAAAGUCACUCUGGGCUCAGUGUCAAGUCACUUCUUGUUCUCUCUGAACCACAGAGAGGAAAGCCUGUUUUGUUGGUGUCUCUUCUUGAGAGAGCUGCUGAAGUAGUGAAAAACUCGAAUGAUGGACUGUGGAGAGCCUCGUUUGAUGAGUUUUUCACACUUCUUACCAAAUAUUGUAGGAGCAAGUAUGAGACUAUACAUGGACAGAACCAGGAGAAUGCAGCAGCUGAGGUGUUCGAGGCAGCUAUAAAGAGGGAGAUGCCUGCUGAGCUUUUGCGUGCGAGCCUGCGUCAUACGAGUGAAGACCAGCAGAACUUUUUAUUAAACUUUGGUCGUAAAGGUUUUUCUUCACCGCCUGUGAGCGAGUUGAAAACCGGUGCAAGGAGUAGCCAGGUGAACUCUGAGUCUGUCAGGGAUUAACUUUAACAUGGGAGGUCUGUGGAUCAAGCAUGGAGAACGUGUGAGUUGCUGGUGUAGGAAUCUUUCACAAGCUUCAGGUGAUGAAUGUUGUUUUCUUUUCUUUUUUAGAUUGUACGUUUUAGAUCUCUUUAAACUUAUGGUUGCGUGUGAAAGGAUGGGGAAAGAAACAUUGAAAGUGGGAGUUGGUCGGGAGAGCUGUGUUUUUGGUGCUCUGGUGAUGGAGACUCCUAUCUAUGUGUAGGACUCUUUUAGGGUUUUAGGAGUUUGGAAUGGAGACUAGUGUUUGUGACUCUGUACAGGCUGAUGGUGAGUGGUGAUGACGCAAGAUGAUGAUGGGUUAUGAUGGUUUUGAUGCGUGCGGGAGCUAACAGCUUCUUUAUUGCAGAGAAUGUGGUAAAGGUUUCACUUCUUCUAAAGCUCUUUGUGGUCACAUGGCUUGUCACUUUGAGAGAGAGAAGAGGGUGUCAUGUUCUCAUUUUUUUCAGGUCAAGAAGAGUGCAAAGUCAUCAGUCAUCAGUCAUCAGUCAUCAGUCAUCAGUCACGGACUUAUGUAGUAAUCACUUGUGUAGGUCAAGAAGAGUGUAAAGUCAUCUUCUGUAUAUCAGUCACGGGCAAUGCUUACGUACUAACUCUUGUAGUCUUGUAUUCUUGCAAACUCUUGUAGUCAUCAGUCAAGAGUUUUGUGAACUCUUGUAGUCUUGUGAACUCUUGUAGUCUUGUCUAUAUAAACUUUGUAUACCAAACUUUUAUUCACAACACAACACUCUUCUUCAUUCA
This is a long non-coding RNA of Brassica napus (rape), 1566 nucleotides long. RefSeq lists it as uncharacterized. The record is from RefSeq and is a predicted model, not a curated record. The transcript is spliced from 3 exons. Lineage: Eukaryota; Viridiplantae; Streptophyta; Magnoliopsida; Brassicales; Brassicaceae.